RNAcentral lists this ribosomal RNA (934 nucleotides) under Mycoplasmopsis primatum. Its description in RNAcentral is "bacterial SSU rRNA". It matches the Rfam family "Bacterial small subunit ribosomal RNA", at positions 8 to 944 of the family's 1533-position model. The record is from RNAcentral. Lineage: Bacteria; Bacillati; Mycoplasmatota; Mycoplasmoidales; Metamycoplasmataceae.
AGAGUUUGAUCCUGGCUCAGGAUGAACGCUGGCUGUGUGCCUAAUACAUACAUGUCGAACGAAGGUAGCAAUACCUUAGCGGCGAAUGGGUGAGUAACACGUACUCAACGUACCUUUUAGAUUGUAAUAGCGGGUGGAAACAUCCGAUAAUGCCGAAUACUUAUUAAGAUCGCAUGGUUUUAAUAUAAAAAGAAGCGUUUGCUUCGCUGAAAGAUCGGAGUGCGCAACAUUAGCUUGUUGGUGAGGUAACGGCCCACCAAGGCGAUGAUGUUUAGCGGGGUUGAGAGACUGAACCGCCACACUGGGACUGAGAUACGGCCCAGACUCCUACGGGAGGCAGCAGUAGGGAAUAUUCCACAAUGGACGAAAGUCUGAUGGAGCGACACAGCGUGCAGGAUGAAGGCCCUAUGGGUUGUAAACUGCUGUGGUUAGGGAAGAAAAAGUAAUAUAGGAAAUGAUAUUACCUUGACGGUACCUGAUUAGAAAGCAACGGCUAACUAUGUGCCAGCAGCCGCGGUAAUACAUAGGUUGCAAGCGUUAUCCGAAAUUAUUGGGCGUAAAGCGUCUGUAGGUUGUUUGUUAAGUCUGGCGUUAAAUUUUGGGGCUCAACCCCAAAACGCGUUGGAUACUGGCAAACUGGAGUUAUGUAGAGGUUAGCGGAAUUCCUUGUGAAGCGGUGAAAUGCGUAGAUAUAAGGAAGAACAUCAAUAUGGCGAAGGCAGCUAACUGGGCAUACACUGACACUGAGAGACGAAAGCGUGGGGAGCAAACAGGAUUAGAUACCCUGGUAGUCCACGCCCUAAACGAUGAUCAUUAGUUGAUGGGGAACUCAUCGACGCAGCUAACGCAUUAAAUGAUCCGCCUGAGUAGUACGUUCGCAAGAAUAAAACUUAAAGGAAUUGACGGGGAUCCGCACAAGCGGUGGAGCAUGUGG